UACGGAGGGUGCAAGCGUUGCUCGGAAUCACUGGGCGUAAAGCGCACGCAGGCGGCCUGUCAAGUCGGGUGUGAAAGCCCGGGGCUCAACCCCGGAACUGCACCCGAAACUGGCAAGCUUGAGUACGAGAGAGGGUGGCGGAAUUCCCAGUGUAGAGGUGAAAUUCGUAGAUAUUGGGAGGAACACCAGUGGCGAAGGCGGCCACCUGGCUCGAUACUGACGCUCAUGUGCGAAAGCGUGGGGAGCAAACAGG
This 253-nucleotide ribosomal RNA is filed under the name uncultured bacterium. RNAcentral describes it as "partial 16S ribosomal RNA". It matches the Rfam family "Bacterial small subunit ribosomal RNA", at positions 524 to 776 of the family's 1533-position model. The record is from RNAcentral.